GCGCUAUUUGUCCCGAGGGCAGAGAGAAUUCGCUUGGUCUCAUCCGGGACUUGCUGAGCAUCACGACGCCAGGCAUUCCUGUUGCCGGGUGUUGUACGGUCCCGGGAUGUGGGCGGAGCUGGCCGCAGGUCUGGUCCUGCAGGACAGAGCCAGAGGACAGAGCACUGGCCUCCAGGAGUGGGGAUGGAUGCCGGACCUGAAGUUCCUGGUCUGUUCUGGCUGACCCUGGCUGGAGUUGCCCCAAGAGCCACAGCAGGAGAGGUAGGUAGCCCUGGAGAAUUCUCCAAAUCAUCCUAAGAAGGAGCUGGGAUGUCAGUGAUGCUAAGUGCCAAGCAAGCAAGUAGUGAGGGCAGAGCUGCAGUGUGCUCCUGAGGCAGAGAGCAAGAAGUAUAGGAUGGUCUUCCUGGUGUAUCCUGUGGUCCAGGGUAGGGGGUGGGGUGCUGUUGACUUUAUGUGGAACAAGUUUCUUUCAGUGUUUUGGACUGUGACUUGAAUCCAAGCUGGCAGAGAAAGCUGCAGCUCUCCUGCCCAGAGUGGAACAAGUUUCUUUCAGUGUUUUGGACUGUGACUUGAAUCCAAGCUGGCAGAGAAAGCUGCAGCUCUCCUGCCCAGAGUGGUCAAAUCGUCUGAGUCAGGACACAGGGAGAAGGAGGUGCCGGGAGCCUUACAGCUUCUCGUGCAACUGAGACUACACCAUCAGUCUAGUCAGCUAUCCCAUCCUUGCGUUUACCUAGGAAACAUAGACCUGUGUGAAAGGACAUGAGCAGCCUCCCCAGCUACCGGGAGCUCCUGGCUCAGAAUGUGUUGAAAAGCAGUGGUAGAUGUGGCUUAUGCUCACUUCAUUAGAUGUCUGGCACUAGAUACCUGGCACUUUCCAGCAUGGCCCUUAACACUGCUGGGCUGCUGGAGGCUAGCUCUAGGACUGCAGGCUGUACCUCCUGUUAGCAUACUUGUCUAAACACCCUACAGUUACCUGGCAACAACCAGGUAUGCUCCUCCCCACAGUUACCUGGCAACAGCCAGGUAGGCCUGACCCUCUAUAAAAGGGGCUGUUUGCCCCCUCCUCCCUCUCUUGUUCUCUUGCUCUCUCUUGCUCCCCCCCUCUCCCCAUUC
RNAcentral lists this long non-coding RNA (1113 nucleotides) under Mus spicilegus (steppe mouse). Its description in RNAcentral is "lncRNA (ENSMSIG00000029162.1)". The record is from RNAcentral. Lineage: Eukaryota; Metazoa; Chordata; Mammalia; Rodentia; Muridae.